This 497-nucleotide ribosomal RNA is filed under the name uncultured bacterium. Its description in RNAcentral is "partial 16S ribosomal RNA". It matches the Rfam family "Bacterial small subunit ribosomal RNA", at positions 28 to 507 of the family's 1533-position model. The record is from RNAcentral.
GAUGAACGCUGGCGGCGUGCCUAAUACAUGCAAGUCGAGCGAACGGACGAGAAGCUUGCUUUUCUGAUGUUAGCGGCGGACGGGUGAGUAACACGUGGAUAACCUACCUAUAAGACUGGGAUAACUUCGGGAAACCGGAGCUAAUACCGGAUAAUAUUUUGAACCGCAUGGUUCAAAAGUGAAAGACGGUCUUGCUGUCACUUAUAGAUGGAUCCGCGCUGCAUUAGCUAGUUGGUAAGGUAACGGCUUACCAAGGCAACGAUGCAUAGCCGGCCUGAGAGGGUGAUCGGCCACACUGGAACUGAGACACGGUCCAGACUCCUACGGGAGGCAGCAGUAGGGAAUCUUCCGCAAUGGGCGAAAGCCUGACGGAGCAACGCCGCGUGAGUGAUGAAGGUCUUCGGAUCGUAAAACUCUGUUAUUAGGGAAGAACAUAUGUGUAAGUAACUGUGCACAUCCUGACGGUACCUAAUCAGAAAGCCACGGCUAACUACGUG